Equus caballus (horse) is the source of this 3742-nucleotide long non-coding RNA. NCBI's taxonomy places the organism in Eukaryota, Metazoa, Chordata, Mammalia, Perissodactyla, Equidae. The record is from Ensembl.
AGUUUCCACCACUCCUGUAUUUGCCGCUCCAGUCUCCUAUCUGCAGGCUGGAGAAAAGGCUGAUUACUAAUCUUCCUUUAUUUGUCACAAAUCAAAAGAAUAUGAUGAAAACAGUCGGUAGUAUGGACAGCAUGACUAAUUAUUUUGUCACUAGCUCAGGUGGCAGGAAAGCCCCUCAACCCAUGGCCUCUGCUGCAUAUUAAAGCAGUCAGCUGGAUCCCAGCUCCUCGCCAUUCUAACAGGCGUCGGUUGACAGUUCUCAUCCAACGUAAAGCGCGACUGUAGCCUCCACUAAAAAGCAUUUCAGUUUCUGCCACGAGGGGGCGCCUCAGGCCAAGACCCGAGAUGAGGUUGCCGCUAACCUCACUGCACGGCGGCUGCGAUUUGUGACUGAGGCCAGUGAAGAAAAGGACUGUUGGUGGCAGCUGAAGGGCCUGCCUUCUCAGGAAGGACUCUCUGAGGCCUUGGACAUGAACAGUACAAGUUGGACCUGGUGGCAGUGUGACUGAGAGCAGGGACCCUCUCCUCACUGAUGUGUGCGCCACUACAGCCCCUCUGGGGAGGAUGGUUUUGAAAGCCUCAGGAUAAAACACCUGUUUGGACAUCAGCCUCUCUACAAAGAAACCCAGCAGCAGUGGAAGUGGUGUGGUCUCAAAGUGGAAGUGGUUGCGGAUGGGGUCAGGGAGAAGAAUAUGGGAGGACUGGGUUGAAAUCCCUAGGGAACUCUAGAAGACCUUAGAAGGGAUUUUGCUGGGCUGAGUUCUGGCGCUGCAUAGUUAAAGAAUAAAUGCCAGCAAAAUAUGGCCGUUACCAUUUACCCCAUGCUGAGCCAUAUUUUACCCCCAUGAGAGUGUCCACAUCCCCUCUUAUAGCAGUUUCUGGGUUAAGACAAAUGAUCAGAGCAAAGAAAGUUAGGAACAUGGCAACUCUCAGUGGCAGCAGAGAAAACGUGAAGUUUGCAAUAUAACGAGCCAUAAAUAGGUCAAGUAGUAACACGUAUAGACAAGAGAAACUGGUGAUGUGUGUUCCAGAACUGCAGCUUCAGCAUCACUGAGCAUGGCUUCCUGCAGCCUGAAGUUCCCCAACUUUAUAAAAUAACGGCAAAGAAACCAGACUCAGAGUGAGAGAUCGACAGGAACAAGGGAACCCGCUGGCUACAAAAUUGCAAUGAAAAUGUGAGCUUCUAAGGUUCAAAUCCCAGAGACCUGUACCAAUAGGAGCCUGAAGUUAAAAAAGCCAGCCCACUGCUUCGGAUGACACCUGAUGUGGAGUUUGGAGAGGAGGUGCUGUGGUGUUAGCUAAUCCCCUCAUGUGCACUCAAAGGCUGGAAACACAUCUUGAGUUCCGGCCUAGAAGAGCUCAGCCUUCUGCAAGCACAGGUGGUUACAGGACCUUGGUCUGGAUGCAGGAAGCUAGACUGCCUGCAAAAUGAUGCAAGGGUUUCUCAACUCCCAUCUCUACCCUCUGUCUCUUUACCUUUUCCCCAGGCCCUAAUUUUGCUGAGGUGGGUGCCAGUGGAUGGGGCAGCCAGUAAGAUUGAUGUGGGUUGAUGUUCACACAUGAAAUUAGGAAGAGGAAGAAGAGGCACCCCGAAAACAAUCCUCUCCCACUGCUUUCUACCUCAUGCAUUGACUAUAAGGAAGCAAAACUAGUCCCUAGAAGGAUGCUCUAGAAAUUAAACAUUUUUCCUUUUGUCUGUGGCCCUUAAUAGCUACAGUAUUUGAAAAUUCAUUAAAUUCAAAGCCUUUUAAUUGUAUACAAAACCCAAGAAGAUUAUAUCCAUCUGUUUUUUUUGGCGAGGAAGAUUCGCCCUGAGAUAACAUUGUUGCCAAUCCUCCUCUUUUUUUGCUUGAGGAAGAUUGUCCCUGAGCUAACAUCUGUGCCAGUCUUCCUUUAUUUUGUAUGUGGGAUGCCUCCACAGCAUGACUGGUGAGUGGAGUAGGUCCACACCCAGGAUCUGAACCUGUGAACCUGGGCCACCAAAGUAGAGCUAGCAGAACUUUAACCACUUGGGCACGGGGCUGGCCCCAUCUUGAAAUCAAGAUCAUAAAAGCCUUGUGUGUGUGUGUAUGCGUGUGUUUAUUUAUAUUUCUACAUGUAUAUGAUGUGCAUGUGUAUAUGUUGGGAGGAGGGAAGAGCAAAACCCGCAGCUGCUUCAGGCAUUAAAAUAACAGCUAACACUCACACGUGCUGGCUCUGUGCCAGGAGCUGUUCUAAAGGCUCUGCACACUCACUGUGCUUUCUCAUUUCAUCCUCACAACAACCCUGUGAAGUACAUAUUAUCUCUUCAUUAGUAUUCCUGUUCCACAGAUGGGGAAACUAAGACACAGAGAAGUCAGGAGUGGAGACAGGGUUUGGAUCAAGGCUGUUAGUGCUCCAGGGGCUCCCUCUCUGGGGUCCAUUUAAAAGGCAGCAGAUGGGCAAGACUACCUCAUUUGGCAGUUGAAUUCCACUGACACUGCCAAAGAUCCUUCUAUAGUGGCUUCCUCGUUCAGACGUUUGCUUGCAGGAACACGUUGGAAGGUUGGAACCUUUGCCUGAAGGAUAGAAAAUGACAGAUUAGGGGAAUGGAAUGUCACAUUUCAGGACAUGUCUGGGGGAAAAGAUCCAGAACAUCAAGUUUCUUUGACUCCUUCCCUCUUUCCUUUCCAUCAUGACUUUCUGACCUUCCCUUUCUCACUGACAGGCAUCUCCAUAGCUCAAGACCAAAAGAAAACCCCUCGCUUUCUCCCCUAACUGCAGGUCUGGCAGGCAUCUCAGGCACUGAGGUGCAUUUGUCUGCCAGUGGUCAGUCAUAAAGAGCCAGCCCAACUAAGACAGUAGAGAAGGUUGAUCUGACAUUGUGUAAUUCAAGAAAUGUCUUCACGACUGCGACAACCAUCUGAUGAUAAUGUAGCCACCAUUUAAUGAGUAGCCACUAUUGGUUGGGCAGUAUCAUAUGCUCUCACUAAUCUAUAAAAUAAGCCUACGUGGGAUCAUCCCCAUUUUACAGACAAGGAAACUGAGGCUUCUGCAUUCUCCUCUUGCUGUUUUUAUUUCAGCUACAUCAGCUUUUUCUCAGUUUCUUUAAUUUUACCUGCUCCCUCCUGCCACAGAUCCUUUGCACAUGCUGUUCCUUCUGACUAAAAUGCUCUUUCCCUCAUCCCCUUUAAAUUAUAAUGGAGUUCAGAACUUAUCUAAGUGUGUAACUACACAUUUGUUAGUGUCGUUUUUAAAUAACGUCUGUCUCUCACUUGGUACUCUGAGGCCCACAAGAGCAGGGAUUAUAAGUGUCUUUGCUCAUUAUCAUCAUCAGAAGUUAGUACAAUAUCAGGGACAUGGUAGGAACUCAAUAACGUAGGUUGCCUUAAUUAGUUUUCCCCAAUUGGAAGAGCUAAGAGUCAAAUCAAGUUCUGCCUCGCUCCAAAGCCUUAACUCUCUAUGGUGCCGCACUGCCUCCAAUGUAUUCAAGGCACUGUAGGAAAAGAAAUCAACCUUAAAUUCAUAACCUAUAAAGAGACGCUAAGGAAAGGGAACCACCUGGCACACAACAGCACAACCACAAUUGCAGAACAUAGGCCUUGGAGAUCGCAGCCUUUGAACUUGUGAAUUCGUGGAGAUGCCCUGUCCAGCCUGCUUGCCUUUUCUCGUAGUUCUCUCUCCAUCUGUCACCUAGAAAUCCGUGGCUUUGCUUUGUGCCACUUGUCCUACUCUUUCCCCAUCCCACACUUAAUUUCAGUUGCCCUCAGUUCAUGGUUGUCAC